GACUCGGGAGUCGCUGCUUCCAAAGUGCCCGCCGUGAGUGAGCUCUCACCCCAGUCAGCCAAAUGAGCCUCUUCGGGCUUCUCCUGCUGACAUCUGCCCUGGCCGGCCAGAGACAGGGGACUCAGGCGGAAUCCAACCUGAGCAGUAAAUUCCAGUUCUCCAGCAACAAGGAACAGAACGAUAAGAAUGCCUAUUGUGGAAUGAUUAAGUUCUGGGAUGGUGCUUCUGAGUUGUAGCAGAAAGAAUCAUACGUUUAGGAACAAAACAAAACCUACUUUGUCUGUUGCAUACAGCACAAAGAGAUGUCAAUGACAGAGUUGUUGGUGGAGGAAUGCCUCUUCCAUCUGUGUUGUUGGUGAGUGAUUUUUAGUUUACUCAUAGAUCAAGAGCAUGCGUAUCAUUUUUUCUCAUUUUCUUUAGCCAUUCUGAAUUUCGAUUUGGAAUAUGCCGCUAUUCGCUACGGUUGGUCUUAUCAACAUCAGUUAUUGUAUGUGUUCUUUUUCUCAAGGGCUUUUGUGGCAUGUGGGGCAAUUUACUUUGGUCUGCUGGUCGUGCCCUUUUGCCUGUAUCUUGUGUUUAUGGAUUUUCCAUCUCUU
RNAcentral lists this small RNA (596 nucleotides) under Pongo abelii (Sumatran orangutan). Its description in RNAcentral is "processed transcript". The record is from RNAcentral. Lineage: Eukaryota; Metazoa; Chordata; Mammalia; Primates; Hominidae.